Molecule: non-coding RNA, 119 nt
Filed under: Clostridium autoethanogenum
Lineage: Bacteria; Bacillati; Bacillota; Clostridia; Eubacteriales; Clostridiaceae
Description: MoCo sequence
Rfam family: Molybdenum/Tungsten riboswitch aptamer (Moco RNA motif)
Source: RNAcentral
AAUAUUACAGGACUUCAAGUUUUUGAUCCUAAUGCUAAGCCUAUGGAGAUAAAACCAAUGAGUAUGUCAUGAAAAUGAUGUGCUUUCCGUGUUUGAGAAGAAGGUCAUUGCAAAUAUCA